CUCAGGGAGGUAGUGACAAGAAAUAACAACACUGGAAAUUUUAUUUCUAGUGAUUGGAAUGAUGGGAAUUUAAACCCCUUUCAGAGUAACAAUUGGAGGGCAAGUCUGGUGCCAGCAGCCGCGGUAAUUCCAGCUCCAAUAGCGUAUAUUAAAGUUGUUGCAGUUAAAAAGCUCGUAGUUGGAUGUCUGCUGGAAGCAAUCAGUCCGCCCUAUUUGUAGGGUGUGCACUUGAUGAAUUCUGGCAUCUAUGUCCUAAUGUGAUAGAUACGGCGGUGUAUAUGGGUUAAUCCUAUAUACCCGUUUUUGUAUAUUAUAUUGGGAUAAUACCGUUACUUUGAGAAAAUUAGAGUGUUUGAAGCAGGCUAAUUGCCUUGAAUACUGCAGCAUGGAAUAACAAUAUAGGAUUUCGGUUCUAUUUUGUUGGUUUCUAGGACUGAAAUAAUGAUUAAUAGGGACAGUUGGGGGCAUUCGUAUUUAACUGUCAGAGGUGAAAUUCUUAGAUUUGUUAAAGACGAACUACUGCGAAAGCAUUUGCCAAAGAUGUUUUCAUUAAUCAAGAACGAAAGUUAGGGGCUCGAAGACGAUCAGAUACCGUCGUAGUCUUAACCAUAAACUAUGCCGACUAGAGAUAGGAAA
This 636-nucleotide ribosomal RNA is filed under the name Sarcocystis hjorti. RNAcentral describes it as "SSU rRNA". It matches the Rfam family "Eukaryotic small subunit ribosomal RNA", at positions 455 to 1059 of the family's 1831-position model. Lineage: Eukaryota; Apicomplexa; Conoidasida; Eucoccidiorida; Sarcocystidae. The record is from RNAcentral.